UGGUUUGUAUGUGAUCUACAGGGGACACGGGGAGCUCAGGGAUACCAGGCCUCCCGGGACAAAGAGGACUGGAGGGACCAAGGGGAGAAAAGGGUGAAAAAGGUGAUAUCCAGACUGGUAGAUGGGUACGGACCACUGGUGUGUAAGGGCUAUUGCAGCAGCACACUUUUGUGGAUGCACUGACAGCGGAAAGAAAUCUUUAAGAAGAUAAAUCCAUAAACUAACCUCCCCUUAUGAAGUAGCACAGUUUAGAGGCUUGUUUGGUUGCUAUUUUAUCACACUAUACAGUUUUAUAUUCAAUGCAUGCAAUAUUAUAAUUCAUACAUUCAAAAUGUUCAGCUUUACCAACACGGAUUUAAGACAGUCUUAGUUUUCAUUAUUUUGCACUUAGCACUUGAAAUGUACCUUUUAUCCAAUAGUGGACUUUGUAAUUGCCUUUAUGAUUUAAUUCUUUUUUAUUUUUUGUAUUAUAUCCAUUUGUCUAUGGUCAAUUGUUGCAAUGCAAAAUUAACACACAAAAAUGAAAUCAGAAUGUUACGGAUGAUACACCAAACAAAAAAGUAUCUCAAGCAGCUGAGAUAGACCAUGUGAUGUAACAUGACUCACUUUACAAGGGCCACUGUUUAACAAAGAGUAUGAUUUUACGCCUACCCGAUAUGAACCCAAACUGCACCAUGUUUAGAAAAAAAAAAACACCAAUAAAUCAAAGAAAAUACAAUGAGUUUUAUUUACAGAAUAUCAAUGGACAAGCGUUUUGAUACAUAAAUUGACCUCAAAAAUGCGUCAGAUAUUCCAUCAAAGUGCUGCAAGAGGUUAAGGUCACCGUUCAGCAGUAUGACACCAGGAUAUCUCUGGAAAAAUAUCCUGCUUGUGCAAAUGCCAACUUUUAAAACCUGUUCAAAGAGAUCAUGUCUCUGGUAAAGUACAGCAUUUGGGAUUUCCUUCAGCAUGCAAAAAGUAUAGGAGCACAGCAUGUCAUAAUAUGGCUAAGAUACAGGUGUGUGAUUUCUUACACAAAA
Non-coding RNA from Pimephales promelas (fathead minnow), 1019 nucleotides. Lineage: Eukaryota; Metazoa; Chordata; Actinopteri; Cypriniformes; Leuciscidae. The record is from RefSeq and is a predicted model, not a curated record.